UUAUAUGGUGAGAUUAUGUCCACACUUAUUCUUUCAGCUUUCUUAAAGAGAAUAUUCAGUUUUAAAGAACAUAGUCACUUGUUUUGAGAUUUAUGUAUUAGCUUCGGAGAUCAGAACAUAAGAAUUUGAGGUAUGCAAGUCAACUCCCUCACUUUCUUUUAAAAAUCCUGGGAAAUCCGUUAUACCUUCCGUGCCUGAUUUUCUUCCUUUGCAAGUGGGUUGCUUGGCGUCCAGCUCAACCACUAAUGCAAGUCACCACAACAGGUACGUCUUCAAAUACCAUCUCAGCAGGCUGGGAGCCAAAUGAAGAAAAUGAAGAUGAAAGAGACAGACAACUCAGUUUUUCUGGAUCAGGCAUUGAUGAUGAUGAAGAUUUUAUCUCCAGCACCAUUUCAACCACACCACGGGCUUUUGACCACACAAAACAGAACCAGGAUUGGACCCAGUGGAACCCAAGCCAUUCAAAUCUGGAAGUGCUACUUCAGACAACCACAAGGAUGACUGCAGAUGUAGACAGAAAUGGCACCACUGCUUAUGAAGGAAACUGGAACCCAGAAGCACACCCUCC
Molecule: small RNA, 568 nt
Filed under: Pongo abelii (Sumatran orangutan)
Lineage: Eukaryota; Metazoa; Chordata; Mammalia; Primates; Hominidae
Description: retained intron
Source: RNAcentral